Molecule: long non-coding RNA, 1158 nt
Organism: Corapipo altera (White-ruffed manakin)
Lineage: Eukaryota; Metazoa; Chordata; Aves; Passeriformes; Pipridae
Exons: 3
Source: RefSeq, a predicted model, not a curated record
CGCCUUCCCCGGCCGGGCGAGGACGGGAGGCGGAGGCGCUGCGGGGCGGGAUCCCAGGUGAUCGGCGGCGGCUACACCCACUCACCGCCCCCGGAGGGCACAGGAAUCACUCCAGUUCAAGAGAAGAAGUGGCUCUCCUACUCAACUCUGAGCAUCUUGCUGCUUCUGUUAAAAUUAGUGGUUCAUCCAAACCGCAGGUGCUGUUAGAUCCUGAGCCUGGGUGCAGGUGCUGGCUGGGAUAAGGAGAUCUUUCUAAAGCUGUGGAUGAAGACAGCACCUCCAUUCAGUAAUACUGAUCAUAUACAUAUUUAGCUUUCAGAAAAAAAAAAAAAAAUUAAAAAAACCCAACACCCACGUUUGGACUUACACUCCUAAAUGGGGAUGGAUUUUAGAAGAAUGUCAGGAGUUUCUCCAGCAGAUGCAAUGUCUCAAUUAGCAUGUCAUUUAACUUGUCUGUCAUUCCUGAGAAUAUGUAAAACCCAAAACAUUAUUUCCUUAGCCACCACCCAAGAACAUUCUGUAUUUUGAUAAGAAACAAUACAAAGAGGAUAAAUUCUGUUCUCCUUGUCCAUGUUCAAAGUGAAUAUAGUUGCCAGUGAGAAGACUGAACGGCUGUAACUGUCCCAUCAGCAGUGAGGAAGCUAGACUCUAAAGCAGAAUAGUCAGCAUAUAAACUAAAGGAACUUUAUUUGAUUAUAGUAUUUAAAAAAAGAAAGGUUAUAGAUUAGAUGAUGCAACUUCAUGUUAAUGCAUAGUAUCAGAUGAAAAAAAUAAGGUAUCUAAAAUAACUCUAAAUACAUUUAAUACAUGAAGAGUAUCUCCUGUAAAAUGAAUUGAAAUGCAGAAAGGAAAAUGAACAAUGGUAGUUUUGACAACCUCUACCUUGAUCCUUAUUUUAGGGAUUAUUCAAUGAUUCACCCAACACACGUGUGUAUGUAAAUCACCUCUGAGGCUUCUGUGUGGGUUUUUCACUACACGAAUACUGUCAAAUAUGAUAUUCUGGUAUUUACUCUGUCCUUCUCUGUUGUUCCUGUGACUGGAACAAUGGGAGGGAUGACUGGCUCCCCAGCAUCUUGCUGUAAUCAUCAGUUCUCAAGAGAAAGCUUCCUGUAAAUCAGAAGUAUUCACUCCUCAGGUGCUUUCCCACAAAAUCCUUCA